RNAcentral lists this ribosomal RNA (339 nucleotides) under Triticum aestivum (bread wheat). RNAcentral's name for it is "partial small subunit ribosomal RNA". The record is from RNAcentral. Lineage: Eukaryota; Viridiplantae; Streptophyta; Magnoliopsida; Poales; Poaceae.
AUGAUUUGUGUCACGCCGGAUGGUUACUCAGGGGGUUUCUUCAAAUCGUCUUGGGAUACAAUCAAGGCCAAUCUGUUUGAGGCGCUGAACCAACUCUAUCACAUGGACAGUCGGGGCUUGCAUCGCAUAAACACUGCUAUCUUAGUCCUUAUACCCAAGAAGCAAGGGGCUGACUUGCUCAAAGACUUCCGACCAAUCUCGCUAUUGCACAGUCUCAUCAAGAUCUUCACCACGAUUCUUGCUACCAAAUUAGCUCCUAAACUAGACAACCUGGUUGACCAUUGUCAAAGUGCUUUCAUAAAAAAACGGAGCAUACAGGAGAAUUUCCUGUACAUAUAA